GGUUAAGCGACUAAGCGUACACGGUGGAUGCCCUGGCAGUCAGAGGCGAUGAAGGACGUGCUAAUCUGCGAAAAGCGCCGGCGAGGUGAUAUGAACCUUUGACCCGGCGAUGUCCGAAUGGGGAAACCCAGUGUGAUUCGUCACACUAUCGUUAACUGAAUACAUAGGUUAACGAGGCGAACCGGGG
RNAcentral lists this ribosomal RNA (187 nucleotides) under Enterobacter roggenkampii. RNAcentral describes it as "partial 23S ribosomal RNA". It matches the Rfam family "Bacterial large subunit ribosomal RNA", at positions 1 to 189 of the family's 2925-position model. The record is from RNAcentral. Lineage: Bacteria; Pseudomonadati; Pseudomonadota; Gammaproteobacteria; Enterobacterales; Enterobacteriaceae.